RNAcentral lists this non-coding RNA (30 nucleotides) under Mus musculus (house mouse). Lineage: Eukaryota; Metazoa; Chordata; Mammalia; Rodentia; Muridae. The record is from RNAcentral.
UGAGUCCUAAAGCUCAGUUUGAGAUGUGUC